RNAcentral lists this ribosomal RNA (389 nucleotides) under uncultured bacterium. RNAcentral's name for it is "bacterial SSU rRNA". It matches the Rfam family "Bacterial small subunit ribosomal RNA", at positions 355 to 755 of the family's 1533-position model. The record is from RNAcentral.
UGGGGAAUCUUGCACAAUGGGCGAAAGCCUGAUGCAGCGACGCCGCGUGGGGGAUGAAGCAUCUCGGUGUGUAAACCCUUCUACCGCAGAAGCAUCGCAAGAGGACUGACGGUACGGGUAUAAGAAGCCCCGGCUAACUACGUGCCAGCAGCCGCGGUAAGACGUAGGGGCCAGCGUUGUUCGAUUACUGGGUGUAAAGGGUUCGUAGGCGGUGCGGCAAGUUGGGAGUGAAAUCUCUGGGCUCAACCCAGAGGCUGCUUCCAAAACUGCUGUGCUUGAGUGUGGGAGAGGCGCGUGGAAUUGCAGGUGUAGCGGUGAAAUGCGUAGAUAUCUGCAGGAACACCCGUGGCGAAAGCGGCGCGCUGGACCACUACUGACGCUGAGGAACG